GUAAAAACCUUAUCAUACACGGUCUGAUCUCAAAUCAAGUAUUUGAUGUUAAAAAAGCAAACUUAUAAUCAUUCAAAAGUAUUUUGUAAUCCUAUAUUGCAGUGUACCAGUGCAUCCAAACAAUAAAGAACCAACCACAGUAGCUGAAAUCCAAGCAUUGCUCAAGCAAAGACACAAGGAAGGAGAUUCAGAACAACUUCAAUCAUGUUGCCUUAAAUUACAAAGCAUAAAGUUAACCCCUUUACACAGGCUUGUAACAAAAUAAAGCUACAUUCUUCCAAAAUUUAGGCUACAACUAAUCAAUUUUCAUAGCUUCCUAAUUACUCAUUAAUCACAAGUGGCUAAUGCAGGCCGCCUUUCCAAAAGAAUCACUCCAGCACCAGCAGCCAAGUCUGCAGGAUCAACCAAAUACUAAGACUCCGGUGAAGGUAUUCUCUUGGGCUUCUUCUUCUUCUCUGAGAAGGCCUUGGCAAAGGCCUCAACAAUCCGCUGCUGUGACUCUAGAAUCAUCUCAGUACGCUUCAUCUCCAUUUCCAUCCUCAUGGUCUCGAUCUCUCUAGCCAUCUCCAUUUUCAUCUGCUCCAUCUUCACAAACCCAUCUCCAAGCACCUUGAUCGCUGUCACCAUCUCCUCCAUUGGUUCCCUCUCCCUCUUCUUUCCCGUUUCAUCGGACCCCCUCAAAACUUUACUGCUCCCCAACCCAGAUGCAGACACGGACCCAGCUCCAAAAUUAGGUUUAGGACUAGAAUUAGAACUCAAAUUAGGGUUUAGGCCAUACUUGUGAUCAACUUUAGGAUAAAACUUGGGUCCUGGUUGCGCUAUACUAACUCCGGUGGGUAUUCUAAUUCUAAAACCACCAGCAACACUAGCGCCAGAACCGCUCCCACUCACAUUGCUGCCAGUAUUUCCUCCAAUUCCAUUACGAUACAGCUUAUGAAUGCUCCUCGUAUUCAUAAUAGUACUAACAUUCCUGUGAUUCUCCAUAUAGAAACCUUGAUUUUCAUCAUCAUCCUCGUUUUCGUCCUCAUUAUCAUCCCCAUCGCUCUCCGAGUUAUAAUCCACUUUAGCCUGUGGGCCUUUUUCCAUGGCAUCCAUACGCUUAAAAUGUACCCAAGAAGAAGAGAAUCUCGAAACGGGCAUGGAUCGUGCCCUCUGGAUCUCGGUGCGAUAACGCUUGCGGAGCUUCUCCAUCUUAUGGCGGCACUGCACGGCGGUCUUCGGCGGGGACGCAGCUGGGCAUCGGCGAGCAACGGCUUCAGCGACUUCUUGCCAGUGAUUGGCCUUGAGGUUACCACGACGGAGCGUGUACCACUUGUCGCAGUAGGCAUCGAUCAGGGCGACCGUCUCGUCGUGGGACCAACAUGGCGGUGGGAGACGGCGUGGAUUGGUGGAAGGCUGCGGUGGCGCAGGGAGCGCUGGUAGUGGAUUGGAUGGAAGGGUAGAAUCUAGGGGGGACGGAGAUUCAGCUGUAGGGGCGGACAUGGGUAGGGCGUAGGUUAAGGGCAGCGAUGGUGAAAGUUGAAAUAGAAAGGAAAUAUCGGUGGAGAAAAAAGAGAAGCGGAGAGCGUUAGCGAAGGAGGGAUAUUGGUGGUGGAGAAAAGAUAAGAAAGGGUUAGGGCUGAGGAAGUGGUGGGGAAAGUGGGGUUUGGUGACAUAUUGAAUUUGAUUGGGGAUGUAAAAGGGUGGGGUGGGUGGGGGGGUGGGAGGGGCGUGCGGCUGAUUUUGAGAUCUAGAAGGAUGAGGCCACCGCUUAGAUGUGGGGUGGGGGAGGGCUAACGUGCGCCACAGAAUGGGCUGCGCACACCCUCACCCUGCCCUGCCCUGCCCUUGGGACAAAAACGGUCCACUUUCUGACUUUAGCCAUCAAUGGCUAUUGGGUAAUAAGAUGAUGAUGUCAUCCAUUCCAUCCUAUUGUGUGUAGUGUAGCUUUUAGAUAAGCCACCGACAACGCCUCCACCCCCGCCUACGCAUAGGGUGGCUCUGCUUUCACUUGCCUGCUUUGGCACGU
RNAcentral lists this unclassified non-coding RNA (2008 nucleotides) under Hevea brasiliensis (rubber tree). Lineage: Eukaryota; Viridiplantae; Streptophyta; Magnoliopsida; Malpighiales; Euphorbiaceae. The record is from RNAcentral.